CCCAACACACAAUUUUAUACUAAGAGCUUAGAUGCCAACAUAUUCUAAAUUAACACUGCAAGUAUCCAAUUGUAUAAUUCUCGUCAUUUUCCAGCUCUAUGAAUAUAAACAUCACUUAAUUGGAUCAUUAAUGUCCUGACACUCAUUCAAGUCAAUUUUCUCAAAGCUUUAGAAGCAAUUAGUGAUUGUGUAAAGGUAUAAUUAUAUGAAGUCUGAAAAAUGACAGAAUCUAUUUUUCAAUUUCCAUCAACGUCCAAUUAUUUUUCCAAUUCUUUUUCACACCCUUAAUUAUAUCCAACGACUCUCAAAUUUUUACCAUACUUCUAUAACAUGUAUUUGAAGGUAAUC
RNAcentral lists this long non-coding RNA (348 nucleotides) under Olea europaea (common olive). RNAcentral's name for it is "long non-coding RNA (OEUR_LNC008287)". Lineage: Eukaryota; Viridiplantae; Streptophyta; Magnoliopsida; Lamiales; Oleaceae. The record is from RNAcentral.